CAUUGGGCUACCUUGGGCUCUCCGCAGUAGCCGAGCUUAACAUGAUUCUCCACUGCAGCUGCCUCUUUGAAGCGGAUCCGUGAAGUAGAAAUUUGGAGACGUAAGCUGACGUGGAAAUCUAUCCCCAUCCUUAGCAGGGAGGUGCUGGUCAUGUGACCCGAUGUUGAAAUUGACAAGCUGGGAGCUAGUCCGGGCCUUUUUUUCCCCCUUUCCUUUUUUUUCCCCUCCCCUCCCUCCCCGGCUUCCUUUCUUUGUAGCCACCUCAGGGGAAGCAACAGAUCGUCACUCGGUGUUCUCACCGAAAGCACGUAAUCGCCGGUGUAACUCAUGUUGGCUGGGGGGCCUCCCGGCGCGCCGCGGAGGCUGGGGUGCGCCCCCAUGCCGCACGCUUGUGCUCAGUUGCACGGUCCUGGUCUUUAAGUGAGGGCUGCGAGAGCUCAACUCCCCCCCACCCCCACUCCCGGGUGGGUGAGGGGUGUCCCGGGCUGGGGAUGGCCAGGUGGGAGCUGGCGCUGUGUGGCCUAUGGUCUCGGAGGAGUCGGCUCUCCAAGAGGCUCGCGUCUGCACCCGUUUUUUCUCAGCCCCCCUCCCACAGGCUUGCUCUGGGUCGCACCUCCACCUCCGACCAUGGCCGGACCCCCUUCGGGGCCAGGGUUCGCAGCCGUGGAUGUGCCGGCCCCAUGGCUUGUCCGAUUUGCACGGUGACUUGAUUACACGCUCGCAUUCAUGGUCACUUCCGAAGCGCUUUAGUGCCUUCCGUCCCUAAACCGCCAACAGCCAGGGCGGCUUCUCCCCGCGGUUUGUCAAUGAUCCGCAGGGCCCGGAAGGGCCUUCGUCUUACCCGGGAUCCACUCCUCCCUUCAUCUUCCCUGCCUGCCUCUUCACCCCACCCCCACCCCCGCCCCCGCCCUUGGAUAACCCCCUUCCUCCUCGCUGCCUGCCGGGGUUCGGAGAGACUGGACAGAGACAGAGGCACCGGGGCUGCGCCGCUGCUCACCGGUCCUCCCGCCUGCCUGGUCUUCUGGAGCUGAGGACUCAGGAAACCAUGCAACUGAGGCAAGCCUUGGGCUGCUUUAGAGGCGCUGACAUCCGAGGAGACUUCCCCUGGGGUCAAAUCGAGAGGGUGCCGGCAGGUCUGGAUCCCUUGGGUGUCUGCAGGAGACAAAGGCGAAUUCCAGAGGAAAGGAUGGAGCGGAGAAAGGCGCUCCGGGAACGGCUGGCAGGGCGACUCCGCAGGCUGCAGGGAAGCGGGGUGCCUGGAGGGACUUGCAGCCUGGAAAGGGGCGUGUGGGGGCGCUGCCGCGAAGAUGGAAGAGGAAAAAGGCUUUUGAUAUCAGUAGAAGGGAAAAAGCUUGGAGCGGCCGAAUGCUUUUAGAUCCCCAGCAGGAACAGCCCGGGGGUGCUCAGAUGCCCAAGGCUGCGCGAUGUUCCCAGCUUUGCCCGCUCCUGCCUCUCUUGCGCGGCAUAUACUGGCGGUGCAAAUGUUUCCCCAGGCACGCAGCCUGGGUAAGGGGUGGGCUCAGCUCUGAGGAUCAGACCAAAUCUUGGGGAAGAAGGUGAGGCAGAGCUUCGGGUCCUUGGUUUGACUUUGCUCUGAGCCUAUAAUCGACUCUUCCGCUUUGCAGGAGGUCCAACAGCCAAGCUGAGCCCACCGCGCUCUGGGAAAGACGCGGCCGGGGUUAAGGCCGCCCCGGAAGGCCAAGUCCGAGUUCCAUUUCGUGAAGAGGCCGCAGCAGGCAAGGCUGUGACAUUGGCCCUGGCGACUGGUUUCUCAGGAGCUGUUCUUUCUCAGGAGCUCCACAGCGCGGGGGCCAUCUCCAGAAAACUGUCUUCAGCGUGCAUUUCCUUUUACCGUCAACCCGGAGCCCCACGGCGGCUAAUACAAGAGGCCAAAAAUGUUUGGAGGAAGAAAAACAAAGGCAGGAAGUGGCGGCGGCCUGACGGUCCAGGCAGCCUCCGCAGGGCCGGCCGGCCGCUCCCCGCGCAGCGUUUGGAGGUGGCCACCCGGAGAGGAGGAGGCCGGCGCCCGCGCCAGCCCUGUCAGGCGGAAACGGCUAACAAGGAGAUUUGGUUAGCAAAACAGACCGAGCCUUUCCAAGGCUUCGUGUGACUUGGCCCUAAAGGUUGGGGGGAGGGUGGUGCAGCACCUCCUGGACCCUCCUCAGCCGGUGGAGUACGCCCAGGCGGGGCCGAUGAUCCGUGAGUCUUGCGCUCCACCCGCCUUACCAGGCGGAAUAUCGGAAUAAAGUGUGUCCAGGCGCCUUUGCCGCGAGCGUCCGCUUCUUCUUGCAGCCGGAGGAGGGGGCCCGGCAGCAGUGGGAGGGCGCCGGCGGGCAGUGCCCAGGCAGGGUGGCCUCAGCGCGGUCGGUCAGUGCACCCCGGGCGAUGUGAGGCCUGGUCACUAUGGUCGUUGUACCCGGGGAGUUUCCAGCAGUCAUUCAAGGGACAUGAGCUGCAAUCAUAGUCACUUGAUAGGCAGCUUAACACCCUCUCACUCCAAGGGAGCAUAGAGGCGGGUGGUAGCUGAGCAUCUCCAGACUCCAGGGGUCCCAGCCCCAACUGGAGAGGCUGCUAGGCUUCCCUCUUUUCUACUUAGGCGUGGGGGGCAGCAGCUCCUUUUCUCUCAAAUCUGGGAAUUUGAAGUCCCCAGUGUUUGCACUUGCAGUCCUUUGAAUGCUCAGCGUGUGGUCCAUAGUGUGAAUGCCAAUGCCAAGCUGCCCCCACCUGCCACAGUCCCUUUCCAAGCCAGUCCUGUUCCUCUGCAGCCUCCUGCUCCCCUGUCUCCUGCCCUGCCUCUUUCCAGCUAGUGCCACCUUCUGUGGCCUCCUGUCACAUCUGAUGCCUCCUUAGGCUGAGCAAGAACUGAGGUGCCACUGGAGGGCACCCAGUACUCAGGCACAGGAUGUUAGGUUUCUGACUCUUCCCCCAAUCCGGGCCUCCACCAGAGCCUGAAUUGGGUCUUCUAUUUCCUUUGGAAUACUCAUCUAAAGGCUCCACCAUGUCCGGCUUCUCUCCCACCCUCUCUCCCUCCCUUUCCAACACUUACUCCUCUUCUGGGGACCCAGCUCCUGCUUUUCUAGGCUGGGAAAUCCUGGUGGUAGCUGGUCUGGGAGGAGUUGGGCCCACCUGACAGACUGAAUCUCAUUCCUAGACAUCAAUAAUUUCUCAGUGCAUUGCUUAGGGCACCAUCAACAUUUUGCCUCUUCUUGCUUGGCUGAAACCUUAUUUUCCUCUGUCCACCACUGUCAUAUUGUUUCUAGAAUGCUUAUGCACAAGACUAUUUCAACCCUGGUGACCAUAUUGCACACAGGUACAAGAGUUGGCUGGGAGGCCCUGGGUGAAAACAGCCAUAUAGUCCUUCCUGGUGUUGGAGGCCAGGCCUGCAUUUGGGGACUCACUCCUUCUAAAUAAGGUUUUCUGGGGGGUACAUCCCUCCUCCAUGGAGAGCUGGAGGGUGGGUUGUCUUAGGCAGCCCAGGAGAUAUCCCAGUAUUUGUUCUCAGGGAAUGGUUUAUCGGCAGAUCAUGGCCAAUCCAUCACAUUUGCAGGUGCUACCGAGAGGCAGCACUGAGUCUUCCAUAAAAUAUCAAGAGGUUACCUAUAUCACUACCAGGUGGAGGCAAGAGUGAAUUUGUCCCUUUGUCAAGGCAGCCUCCCCUCUCCCAAGCUCCCCUACACUGUCAUAGUGCACAGGAACAGCUAAUUCCUUGAACUUGAUGUCGUGGUUACUACUUGGUCUGACUAGCAGGUUCAAUCAUCCUAUAAUGCCCCUAAACAUUUGAAGAAGUCCAUGUCUUUUCCUCAGGGAUGGGGGGAACAUAGAACUCAUCUGAGGGUCUCAAGUGUCCAUUCCAAACAUGGGAGAAGAGAUGUUUCCUUGCUUUGAGGAGAACUAUUUUUACUUUUAUUGAUGAGGACUCACUGCAGAUUUUAUUUUUUCCUACAGAAUGGGAACAAAUGGCUUGGGGGAUCUUUGAAAGGUGAAGCACUGGUUCUCAGCCUCCACUUUCCAUUCCCCUGAAAGCUUUGGCCCAAAUGGGUUUCCCCAGCACAGUGUGCCUGAAAUAAAGAGGACAAAAGAGGGUGGCUCAACCAGAAGAUUGGCUCUUGUCUUUGGGUCUCAGUCCCCACAGCUGUGGCUCAGAGGAGUCCCGCUCUCAUACCCCAAACUCCAACUCCUUCAUAGUGCAGGCAGCUUCCAUUUCCACUCAGGACCAGUGGUGGGUCACAUUCCAGACUUGAGAAAAGCCCCCACCCCAUCCAGCCCUGCCCUAGGAGCCUCUCCUUCUUGCCCUGCCAGGCAGUUCUGCAAUGGCAGCCAUUCACAGACAAUCCAUCCCGAUAUCUCUCCCCAUAGUCCAGCCCACCCAUGCAGCCCUAGGCGUAAAACCUAGAUUUUCUGUCUUCCAUUAAAAUAAGUCAUUUGCAGGUCCUGUUGGUUCACUUGGAGAGAGAGGCUCAGUGGCAGAUUGGGCGUAAGCUGUCUGUUUGCCGCUGGGCCUGAUGCUCUGACCUAUUUGCCAAGGCAGGCUGUGGACAGAGGAUAAGGGAGCACAGUGAGGAUUCUUGGGGCCCCGGGGGGUUUGUACCUUGGCAGAGUGCACCUCACUUCUCAGUGCCUAAUUUUAGGCAAGAGAAGAGCAUCAAAGGCCUGCCAUGCACCGAAGGAGGGCUUGGACUCAGGUACCACAGGAGAGGCUUCCCAGUAGCGUCUUGGCUCCUCUAUCCUAUUCCCAGCCAGGCCAACCCUGCCCGGCCUCUUGUUCCUACCAGGACC
Microcebus murinus (gray mouse lemur) is the source of this 4776-nucleotide non-coding RNA. The record is from RefSeq and is a predicted model, not a curated record. NCBI's taxonomy places the organism in Eukaryota, Metazoa, Chordata, Mammalia, Primates, Cheirogaleidae.